UUCCACUGGACAUUUUAGCCAACAGUUUUAAAUGUAUGUGUUAAACACACCAAAAAGAAACGAACAAACACUCCACAUGCCUUCCAGUUUACUACUUUUACCACUAAAUAUUGUGCUCUUUCCUUUUAGUUGCCUGCUAAUAAAGAUGCCUUUCGAAAGACAUGGAAUCCCAAGUAUACACUACGUAGCCAUUUUGAUGGAGUACGGGCAUUAGCUUUUCAUCCUGUAGAACCUGUGCUGGUUACUGCUUCUGAGGACCAUACCCUGAAACUUUGGAACCUGCAAAAAACAGUUCCUGCCAAAAAGAGUGCCUCUUUAGAUGUAGAGCCUAUCUACACAUUUAGGGCCCACAUUGGCCCUGUUCUGUCAUUAGCUAUUAGUUCUAAUGGAGAACAGUGUUUUAGUGGUGGUAUUGAUGCAACCAUCCAGUGGUGGAAUAUGCCGAGUCCCAAUGUAGAUCCAUAUGAUACAUAUGAGCCAAAUGUUCUAGCUGGCACUUUAGUUGGUCAUACAGAUGCAGUUUGGGGUCUUGCUUAUAGUGGCAUAAAAAAUCAAUUACUGUCUUGUUCAGCAGAUGGCACUGUUAGGUUAUGGAAUCCACAAGAAAAAUUGCCAUGUGUUUGCACUUACAAUGGAGAUAAAAAGCAUGGAAUACCUACAUCAGUUGACUUUAUAGGCUGUGAUCCAGCUCAUAUGGUAACCUCUUUCAACACUGGUAGUGCAGUAAUUUAUGAUUUAGAAACAUCACAGUCAUUGGUGAUACUUUCAUCACAGGUAGAUUCUGG
RNAcentral lists this small RNA (785 nucleotides) under Pan troglodytes (chimpanzee). RNAcentral's name for it is "retained intron". Lineage: Eukaryota; Metazoa; Chordata; Mammalia; Primates; Hominidae. The record is from RNAcentral.